Pristis pectinata (smalltooth sawfish) is the source of this 333-nucleotide long non-coding RNA. RefSeq lists it as uncharacterized. The record is from RefSeq and is a predicted model, not a curated record. Lineage: Eukaryota; Metazoa; Chordata; Chondrichthyes; Rhinopristiformes; Pristidae. The transcript has 3 exons.
UGGAAUCUAGAUGAAAAACACGCUGAUGCUGGAGGAACUCAGCAGGCCAGGCAGCAUCCGUGAAGAAAAGCAGGUGGUCAAUGUUUCGGGUCAGGACCCUUCUUCAGGACUCAGAGGAUGGGAGCUGUAGCUGCUAUGGAUGGAUCUGUAAGAUGCAGAGAAUGAGAAUAUUGAAGCUGCUAGGCAGCGUGGUAACAGGCCCUUCCAGCCCAACAAGUCUGCACCGCCCAUUUUAAACCCAAAUUAACCUACCCGUACAUCUUUGCAAUGUGGAAGGAAACCCACGCAGACACGGGAGAACGUACAAACUCCUUACAGACAGCGACGGGAAUC